Molecule: long non-coding RNA, 2451 nt
Filed under: Heterocephalus glaber (naked mole-rat)
Lineage: Eukaryota; Metazoa; Chordata; Mammalia; Rodentia; Bathyergidae
Description: lncRNA (ENSHGLG00100048738.1)
Source: RNAcentral
CUGAGUUGUAUUCUUGUGGUGUUUGUCAAAAUUAGUUUUCUGUGCAUUUAUUGAUUUUUGUUCCUUUCCAUUGGUCUGUGAAUCUGAUUUUAUGCCAGUACCCAUACUGUUUUGAUUACUGUAGCUUUGUGAUAUAAUUUGAAAUCCAGAUGUGUGAUACUUCUACUUUUAUUCUUUUUUUUUGGUACUGGGUAUAGAACUUGUGCCCUUGGACUUGUGGGGCAGGAGGUGGCACCACUGAGCUAAAUCCCUGGCCCUCUACUUUUAUUCUUGCUUAAGAUUUUUUGGGCUUUUCGGAGUCUCUUAUGUUUCUGUAUGAAUUUUAGGAUUUUUUAAAUAAUUGUGUGACAAAUGCCAUUGGAAUCUUGAAAAGGAUGUCAUUAAAUUUGGCAUUUUGGGUACCUUGGACAUUUUCAAAUAUUAUUUCAAUCCAUGAAUAUGGGAUAAGUUUCCUUUUUUUUGGUACUGGGGAUUGAACUCGGGACUUUGCGCUUGUGAGGGGCAGGCAGUGGAAACACUGAGCUAAAUCCCUGGCCCCAACUUUCCAUUUACUUAUAACUUAUUUAAUUUUCUUAUUUAAUUUUCUAAAUCAAUGUUUUGUUUCAGUUUGUCAGUCUUUCUUCUCCUUAAUUAAAUGUAUUUCUAAGGAUUUUAUUGGUUUGUUGUUAUUGUCCACUUCUUUUUUCUUUUUUUUUCUCGGUACCAGGGAUCAGACUCAGGACCUUGCUCUUGCCAGGCAGGUACAACACCACUGAGCUAAAUCCCUGGCCCUUGUUUCUAUUGUCAAUGAAAUUAUUUUCUUAAUUUCUUUUUUUGGUACUGGGGAUUGAAUUUGGGACCUUGUUUUUUGUGAGGCAGGCACCGGAACCACUGAGCUAAAUCCCCAGCCCUCUUAAUUUCUUUUUCAAUGAACAACUGUUCAUUAUUGGUGUAUGGUAACACUUUUUAUUAGUGUAUAUUUAUGAUACAUAAUAGUUAACCCAUUUAUACUGAAGGUUGCAAUCUUUUGAAUUUUUCCAUGAAAUUAAUGUUAUGAAAAAUUCAAGGAAUAAGAAUAAAGAGUAAGAAUAAAAAUUCAAGGAAUAAGAAUUUGAAGAGAAAAAAUUGUAUUAUGUUCCAUUGUUUCAUGGAUGUUCCAAAAAUGGAACACUAGGCAUUGAAUCAUUAACAUUCAUUGGGGAAAUUGGUACAUAAGCAUACACUAUUAAUUUUUGUGUGCUGACUUUGUAUUCUGCUGCUUUCCUGAAUUCAUUUAUUAUGAUCAUUCUUUCAUGGGUCAUUAGGAUUUUCUAUAUUCAAGAUCAUGUCAUCUGCAAACAAUUUUACUUCUUUUCUAUUUUUAUGUAUUUUCUUUUUCUUGCUUAGUUACUAUGACUAGAACUUGCAGUAUUAUGAUUAACAGAAGGUACCUGGGCACCCUUGUUCCUGUUCUUGAAGGAAAAGCUUUGAGCUUUUCACUGUUUGUGUAUGAUGAUAACCAUUGGCUAGUCAUAUAUUGUCACUAUUAUGUUAAGGCAUGAUCAUUCUAUACCUAAUUUGUUGAAAGCUGAUAUGAAAAUAUGUUGAAUUUUGUUAAAAUUUUUUUCUGCAUUUUUUGUCAAUGAUUUUCCUUUCAUUUUGUUGUGUAAUGUGUAACAUUUAUUGAUUUUGCAUAUGUUGAAUCACCCUUGCAUUACAGCUAUAAAUUUCAGUUGAUAGUGAUGCGUGAUCCUUUUAAUAAUUGAUUCAAAUCUGAAUGGGCUAAAUUUGCCCAUCAAAAGACAUAGUGGCUGAUUGCAUUAGAAACAAGACACAUCUGUGUGUUGCCUACAAGGGACUCAGUUCAUCUUUAAGGACUCAAGUAGAUGGGAAGAGUAGGGAUGGGGAAAGAUAAGCUUUGCAAAUAGAAACCAAAAGAAAAUGGAGGUGGCUGUACUUGCAUCAGACGAAACAGACUUUAAGUCAAAAAUUAUAAUGAGAGAAAACGAGGUGAGGGUGAGGAAGUGGUCAUCUCAUCAAGAGGAUAGAACACCUACCUGGGUGCAGUGGGAUGUGCCUAUAAUUCCAGCUACUUGGAGGCUGAGGUGGGAGUAUCACAAGGUAGAACCCAGCUGUGGCAACAGUAUGAGAUCCUGUCUUUAAAAAAAAGUGUGUGGCCAGGGAUUUAGCUCAGUGGUUUCAACACCUGCUAUGCAAGCACAAGGACCGGAGUUCAAUCCCCAGUACCAAAAAAAAAAAGUGGUGUGUGUGUGUGUACAUAUAUGCAUUUUAUAUAUAUAUGUGUGUGUGUGUAACACACAUAUAUGUGGGGGAAGAUCACCAAAAAAAAUGUAUACACACUCCAGCAGUUCACCUUACUAAUAAAUGUCUAGAAGCUAAUGGUCACCACUUUGAGCACCUCGUAGAGGCCAAAGGGAACUUGUAUUAAUCUUAUGAUGUCUCAAUAAAUUUAGUAUUAAAAUAUUUAUAUAA